UACGGAGGGAGCUAGCGUUAUUCGGAAUUACUGGGCGUAAAGCGCACGUAGGCGGCUUUGUAAGUAAGAGGUGAAAGCCCAGAGCUCAACUCUGGAAUUGCCUUUUAGACUGCAUCGCUUGAAUCAUGGAGAGGUCAGUGGAAUUCCGAGUGUAGAGGUGAAAUUCGUAGAUAUUCGGAAGAACACCCGUGGCGAAGGCGGCCCACUGGGCCGGUACUGACGCUGAGGCGCGAAGGCGUGGGGAGCGAACGGG
This 253-nucleotide ribosomal RNA is filed under the name uncultured bacterium. RNAcentral describes it as "partial 16S ribosomal RNA". It matches the Rfam family "Bacterial small subunit ribosomal RNA", at positions 524 to 776 of the family's 1533-position model. The record is from RNAcentral.